RNAcentral lists this ribosomal RNA (773 nucleotides) under uncultured Streptococcus sp. RNAcentral's name for it is "bacterial SSU rRNA". It matches the Rfam family "Bacterial small subunit ribosomal RNA", at positions 28 to 776 of the family's 1533-position model. The record is from RNAcentral. Lineage: Bacteria; Bacillati; Bacillota; Bacilli; Lactobacillales; Streptococcaceae.
GACGAACGCUGGCGGCGUGCCUAAUACAUGCAAGUAGAACGCACAGUUUAUACCGUAGCUUGCUACACCAUAGACUGUGAGUUGCGAACGGGUGAGUAACGCGUAGGUAACCUGCCUGGUAGCGGGGGAUAACUAUUGGAAACGAUAGCUAAUACCGCAUAAUAUUAAUUAUUGCAUGAUAAUUGAUUGAAAGAUGCAACUGCAUCACUACCAGAUGGACCUGCGUUGUAUUAGCUAGUAGGUGAGGUAACGGCUCACCUAGGCGACGAUACAUAGCCGACCUGAGAGGGUGAUCGGCCACACUGGGACUGAGACACGGCCCAGACCCCUACGGGAGGCAGCAGUAGGGAAUCUUCGGCAAUGGACGAAAGUCUGACCGAGCAACGCCGCGUGAGUGAAGAAGGUUUUCGGAUCGUAAAGCUCUGUUGUAAGAGAAGAACGGGUGUGAGAGUGGAAAGUUCACACUGUGACGGUAUCUUACCAGAAAGGGACGGCUAACUACGUGCCAGCAGCCGCGGUAAUACGUAGGUCCCGAGCGUUGUCCGGAUUUAUUGGGCGUAAAGCGAGCGCAGGCGGUUAGAUAAGUCUGAAGUUAAAGGCUGUGGCUUAACCAUAGUACGCUUUGGAAACUGUUUAACUUGAGUGCAGAAGGGGAGAGUGGAAUUCCAUGUGUAGCGGUGAAAUGCGUAGAUAUAUGGAGGAACACCGGUGGCGGAAGCGGCUCUCUGGUCUGUAACUGACGCUGAGGCUCGAAAGCGUGGGGAGCGAACAGG